AGCUGACCGGUACUAAUAGGCCAACAACUUACACCACACAGAUACAUACAAAACUCUGCUUGCGUCCACUAUGUGGUUCCCAACCAACAACCCCCUACACACGGGUUGUCACGGCACGGAACCACCACAACUGAAUAACAACACCACAAUGUUGUAACCACGAGUCUUCCCACCCCCGAAAAAACACCGGGCGGGCGGGUACAAGGGUUACGGCGGUCAUAGCGUGGGGGAAACGCCCGGUCCCAUUCCGAACCCGGAAGCUAAGACCCACAGCGCCGAUGGUACUGCACCCGGGAGGGUGUGGGAGAGUAGGUCACCGCCGGAC
RNAcentral lists this ribosomal RNA (325 nucleotides) under Arthrobacter sp. AG367. Lineage: Bacteria; Bacillati; Actinomycetota; Actinomycetes; Micrococcales; Micrococcaceae. The record is from RNAcentral.